Molecule: long non-coding RNA, 303 nt
Organism: Eucalyptus grandis
Lineage: Eukaryota; Viridiplantae; Streptophyta; Magnoliopsida; Myrtales; Myrtaceae
Exons: 3
Source: RefSeq, a predicted model, not a curated record
AUCUCAGUUUGGGAAGUUCAACCAAGGAGAGCUCACAAAAGAAGUCUCUUUAAAGUUUUCUGGGGUCUCCUCCUGCAAGGUCGCCAGAAAUGGAGGAACCCCUGAAUAGGUACUCUUAUCCUUGCCCUGCUCAAGGCCAAGGGUACUAUCAAGGACCUCUUGUACAAGCGCCUCCCCUGCACUAUGCUCCUCCCCAGUACUACUAUGCUCCUCCCCAGUACUAUGCUCCUUCUCCUCCCGAAACAAAGCCGGGUUUUCUUGAAGGAUGCCUUGCGGGCCUUCGCUGCUACUGUCUCCUCAACG